GACAGAGGGGGCAAGCAUUGCUCGGAAUUACUGAGCGUAAAGGGCGCGUAAACGGGAUGGCAAGUCGGUCGUGAAAUCCCUCGGCUCAACCGAGGAACAUCGAUCGAUACUGCUGUUCUUGAGGAUUGCAGAGGAGACUGGAAUUCCCGGUGUAGCGGUGAAAUGUGUAGAGAUCGGAAGGAACACCGAUAACGAAAACGGAUCUCUGAGCAAUUCCUGACGCUGAAGCGCGAAAGCGUGGGGAGCAAACGGG
This 253-nucleotide ribosomal RNA is filed under the name uncultured bacterium. Its description in RNAcentral is "partial 16S ribosomal RNA". It matches the Rfam family "Bacterial small subunit ribosomal RNA", at positions 524 to 776 of the family's 1533-position model. The record is from RNAcentral.